UAUGCUUGGUCUUACCCAGCAAUUACAGUUGAGUCGGCCACUAUUACUCAUACAAAUCCGCCAGAUUACUUUAAAGAUGGCUGGACGGCGGC
RNAcentral lists this ribosomal RNA (92 nucleotides) under Acinetobacter baumannii 1428368. RNAcentral describes it as "partial 16S ribosomal RNA". The record is from RNAcentral. Lineage: Bacteria; Pseudomonadati; Pseudomonadota; Gammaproteobacteria; Moraxellales; Moraxellaceae.